RNAcentral lists this ribosomal RNA (516 nucleotides) under Triticum aestivum (bread wheat). RNAcentral's name for it is "partial small subunit ribosomal RNA". The record is from RNAcentral. Lineage: Eukaryota; Viridiplantae; Streptophyta; Magnoliopsida; Poales; Poaceae.
AUGCAUUGCUAUGUAGAGUUUUCGAAGUAUCCAAAGUGGCAGACAAGAGAAGUUGAAACUUCUCUUAAGAAACAAAAGAAGACCAUUGAUGCAAGUCCAGGCACAGCCACCAAUGAUUCGGCUGAUGCAUCCUCGGUACGUACUGAUGCUACCUCGAUACACACUGAUGCUCUUGAACAUGAGAAAAGACCUGAUGGUGUGAAGAGGGACAAGAGAGGUAAAGCUGAUGACAGUGCUUGCAAGCUGUCAUUAGAAACUGUGUGGGCAGCAAAGCUAGAGAAGGAUGAGAUCAAAGAGGCGGCAAGAAAUGCUCGCUACGCACAGCAAUUGGAAUUGCGAAAAGAGGAGAUUGCACUCAAAAAGAAUGAGGAUGCACGAAACGAGAGGGAGGAUGCACGGAGACAGUUUGAAUUAGAUGAGAGGGUCAUGCUCAUCGACACAAGUGGUAUGACUGAUGUUCAAAAGCAGUUCUACCAAGCUAAGCAGAAGGAGAUCCUUGCUCGUGGCCUAGGGUAA